RNAcentral lists this ribosomal RNA (563 nucleotides) under uncultured bacterium. Its description in RNAcentral is "bacterial SSU rRNA". It matches the Rfam family "Bacterial small subunit ribosomal RNA", at positions 56 to 614 of the family's 1533-position model. The record is from RNAcentral.
UGCAAGUCGGACGGCAGCGCGGGCUUCGACCUGGCGGCGAGUGGCGAACGGGUGAGUAAUACAUCGGAACGUGUCCAGUAGUGGGGGAUAGCCCGGCGAAAGCCGGAUUAAUACCGCAUACGAUCUUUGGAUGAAAGCGGGGGACCUUCGGGCCUCGCGCUAUUGGGGCGGCCGAUGGCGGAUUAGCUAGUUGGUGGGGUAAAGGCCUACCAAGGCGACGAUCCGUAGCUGGUCUGAGAGGACGACCAGCCACACUGGGACUGAGACACGGCCCAGACUCCUACGGGAGGCAGCAGUGGGGAAUUUUGGACAAUGGGGGCAACCCUGAUCCAGCAAUGCCGCGUGUGUGAAGAAGGCCUUCGGGUUGUAAAGCACUUUUGUCCGGAAAGAAAUCUUCUGAGCUAAUACCUCGGGAGGAUGACGGUACCGGAAGAAUAAGCACCGGCUAACUACGUGCCAGCAGCCGCGGUAAUACGUAGGGUGCGAGCGUUAAUCGGAAUUACUGGGCGUAAAGCGUGCGCAGGCGGUGAUGUAAGACCGAUGUGAAAUCCCCGGGCUUAACC